UUUUUUUUUUUUAAUUCCAAUUUUUUCCUACUCCGACCUAUUUCUUCUUUUUCUUUGAUUUUUUUUUUUUAUGGCUAUCUUUCUCUAUCUUUUAGCUUUAAUAAUAGUGGCCUUAAAUCAUUUGGAACCCCAUAUUCUUUGAUUUGGCUUUCUCGAUGUUGAAAUUUCUGUCCAAAAAUUAUGUUUUGUGCUUGAUUUGCAGAAGAGUUUGGAUUGAUAAGGCUUCUAGUAGGUGGAGUCUAAGUGGGUUGCUUUGAUUUUGUGCUAGGGUUGUGAUUGAGGAGGGAAAAUUGUAAUGGAGGAGAGUGUGCAAUGGAAUUGGUCACUUGUGCCUGAAAAUGAGACGUUUGACCAUUUGAUUGAAGAACAAGGACGUGAGAUUAGCUCAAGCUCUGAUUUUCUUACAUUGGAGACCACAGGGCUUUAGGAGCACAGUCACAGUGGCUCUGAGGACUAUCUUCCUUUCUUCAUUGAGUUGGCCAACUUGAAAGGCUAAUGGACCCGAUUGUAUUAACCUAAUACCUAAUGUUGCUGAUAAAGAAGAAAGACACUAUGUUGAUAAUAGGAAGCUGAAGAAGAAAGUAUCUUCAUCGUCAGGGUUGAUUUCAAGAAAGCCAAUAGAGAUUCUAGUGAACAUGAAGGGGGACUUUCCAGGGUUGAUUUCAAGAAAGCCAAUAGAGAUUCUAGUGAACAUGAAGGGGGACUGUCCUUGAAGCGUAGCAUGACUUGGGUUAGGCUCUUGUUGUGUUUCUGUUUCUACGUUCUAAGCUUGAGCCAUUCCUUUUUCAGGGGCUCCUUAUGUGGAAUUCUUGAAGCCAUCCUUCAGCUUCCUUGCAUAAAUAGGGUUCUUUUCUUGGUGGCAUGUUCUUCGUACUAGAAGAACACUCAAGGGCGUUUCCUUGAGCUGGGCCAUAGAGAAACCUUGGGCUCUGAUAAGGACCAGACUGACUCGAUGACUCUAAAAAGACGGAUUGAGAUGUUGAAGGAAAGUUUUUCUAAACUCUUGCUUGGAGAAGAUAUGACGGCUGCAGAAAUGUGAUUUGUAUGGCAUUGGCUAUAUCUAAUGCCAUUACAAAUCUUUGGGGUCACUCUGUUUGGGCAACAAUGGCGAUUAGAACUUAUUCCAUAAGAGAAGAAAAUGCGGUGGUGAAGGAAGAUGGAUUGGCUUCUUUGUGUUAGUGAUCACAUUGUCGAGUUGACGCCUACUAGGCAAAUGUUUCCUGAUUGAAGCAAGCUUGAGGUACCGCAUAACUUCAAACGAGCUCUUUAUGGCAGUAUGAGUUUUGUUUUGUAAGUAUGAAGUUUGUGCCUUUUGGAAUUGGCUGUUCUAUUUAUUUUGUCUUCCAUACGGUUUGUCUUCAUAGCUUUCUUCGUAUAACUAAAUGCCAACAUGAUUGAGAAUGCAAUGAGAAUCCAUUCAUAUAUAAACAU
Non-coding RNA from Cucurbita pepo subsp. pepo (vegetable marrow), 1431 nucleotides. The record is from RefSeq and is a predicted model, not a curated record. NCBI's taxonomy places the organism in Eukaryota, Viridiplantae, Streptophyta, Magnoliopsida, Cucurbitales, Cucurbitaceae.